Molecule: ribosomal RNA, 466 nt
Filed under: uncultured bacterium
Lineage: Bacteria
Description: partial 16S ribosomal RNA
Rfam family: Bacterial small subunit ribosomal RNA
Source: RNAcentral
GACGAACGCUGGCGGCGUGCUUAACACAUGCAAGUCGAACGGAAAGGCUCUUCCUUGGAGGGGUACUCGAGUGGCGAACGGGUGAGUAACACGUGGGUAAUCUGCCCUGCACUUCGGGAUAACUCUGGGAAACUGGGGCUAAUACCGGAUAGGACCUCGUUAUGGAUGUUAUUGCGUGAAGAUUUUUCGGUGUGGGAUGUGCUCGCGGCCUAUCAGCUUGUUGGUGUGGUAUAGGUCUAUCAAGGCGUAGAGGGGUAGCCGGCCUGAGAGGGUGUACGGCCACAUUGGGACUGAGAUACGGCCCAGACUCCUACGGGAGGCAGCAGUGGGGAAUAGUGCACAAUGGGCGGAAGCCGGAUGCAGCGACGCCGCGUGGGGGAGGACGGCCUUCGGGUUGUAAACUGCUUUCGCGUGGGACGAAGCGAAAGUGACGGUACCUGGAGAAGAAGCACCGGCUAACUACGUG